This 72-nucleotide transfer RNA is filed under the name Bos taurus (domestic cattle). It matches the Rfam family "tRNA". Rfam says of the family: Transfer RNA (tRNA) molecules are approximately 80 nucleotides in length. Their secondary structure includes four short double-helical elements and three loops (D, anti-codon, and T loops). RNAcentral also lists the same sequence under 3 other names. The record is from Rfam by way of RNAcentral. Lineage: Eukaryota; Metazoa; Chordata; Mammalia; Artiodactyla; Bovidae.
UCCCUGGUGGUCCAGUGGUUAAGACGCCACGCUUCACUACGAGGAGCACAGGUUCGAUCCCUGGUCAGGGAA